UUUUCUUUUUUUCCCCCUCACAGCAGUUCAUAGAACUCUGAUGUUAGGUAGGACUGAAAGGCUUUAGGGACAUGCAGAUUUUAGGGCUCUUUGUUAUGCAGAUUAUGUCAUUUGUGUAAUGAGGUGUAAACACAGCUCUAAUUGCUUCUCAAAAGUGUUUGAGGUAGUUGGAGAAUUUUCCCCAUAUUUUGCAUGUGACCAAGGACUGAUUAAAGACCCCGUGGUGCAGCUUUGCUUUGGUUGAGUUUGAAAGGACGAUUGUUCAUUUCUAGUUGAAACCAAAACUGUUUUGUGGAAACUGCAAGGAAGUAAGUGUGUGCUGUACAUCCUUAUCGCCUUGUGAAGUAGUCUGACAGUCUGUACUAUUAAAAGACUUUUUUGUUGCCUAUUGCUUUCAAGUGAUUCCUGAUGCCUUCCCUAUAAUGAGUUUUUUGGUGGAGUCAGUGGACUUACUGUCGAACAAUUCCUCAAGAUCAAUGGCUUUCCUAAUGCAUUCUGGGGCUGGGGCGGAGAGGACGAUGACCUCUGGAACAGGGUUCAUUACGCAGGUUUCAAUGUGACCAGGCCAGAAGGUGAUAUUGGG
Long non-coding RNA from Sinocyclocheilus grahami, 583 nucleotides. RefSeq lists it as uncharacterized. The record is from RefSeq and is a predicted model, not a curated record. The transcript is spliced from 3 exons. Lineage: Eukaryota; Metazoa; Chordata; Actinopteri; Cypriniformes; Cyprinidae.